CCCUGCACCCCAUCACAUGGGCUUAUUGGGCAUUUUGGGCCCCAACGGGGGACUGGCCACAGAAAAACAAAGCCAUCCCAGCGGGAAUGAGGUGCUGGAAUGAUGCAGCACCUCCUCUGCGGGGGGUCACGGACUGCGGGGGGGAUGAGGGAUAGAGCGGGGAUGUCCAGCCCUGCUCAGCUGAGUUCGGCUGUUUGAGGCUGAGUUCGGCUUUGUGAGGACGUUUUGUGGUCGUGGCCGGUGAAGCAGACCAGGAUUUGCCAUCUGCAAAUCCAGGAGCAACGGGAAUUCCUGCUGGAAGUGAAGGAUAUGAAAAUCCCGCUCAAAUGAUGCGUGAGUUCCUCAGGAAUUGGGCUGCGAGCUGGUAAAUUGCUGCCUUUAAUUAAUGACCUUGAUUUAC
This is a long non-coding RNA of Lepidothrix coronata (blue-crowned manakin), 400 nucleotides long. RefSeq lists it as uncharacterized. The transcript is spliced from 3 exons. The record is from RefSeq and is a predicted model, not a curated record. NCBI's taxonomy places the organism in Eukaryota, Metazoa, Chordata, Aves, Passeriformes, Pipridae.